UCUUAGGGCCACGUAACUCAACUGAAGCAGAGUCCACGAACUAACCAUGCCUCACUAUCUAGCAUUUGUCAAGUGUCCCUGCCCAUGCCACUGUCUAGCACACCUGCUCUGGCUUGUGGAACCCACUGUUUCUUGGGCUAUUCUCUAGCACAUUCUGUCCUAGACCCCAUGGGGAAGUCAUGAAAAUUGUAUACCUUCUUUCCAGUAAAAGCAAAUCGUUCUGAGUUGGUCAGAAGGUGUAGAAAAUUAGGAAACUGGCUUUUGCCAUGGGAUACAGAUGAAUCAGACCUUCUCACAUGUGAAUUGUCACAGCUUCGAAGCAUCUCUGGAUAACAUGUGACUUACUGGAUGAACUAUAAUUGAAACUCACAGGUAUGGAAUGAACAUUAUAGGCAAAACUGCUUUUUUCUAGGCAAGGAAUUCUAUGUGGAUUUCAUUUCCAUCCCAUGUAAUCCUCACAACAAUCUUAAAAGUGACUUUUUGACAAAUGACACUGUGACUUGAGAAGUUAAAUAACUUACCAAAAAUCACAUGCCACUGAGUAGCAGAAUCAGGAUCCAAGCUCAGGUUUUCCAGUCUAAAAUUCCUGCUACAUCACUCUUUUUUUAUGCUGCCGAAAAGCACAGACGUCCCCCUUGGGAGCUACAGGGAAAGCUGGGCCCUUUGCACAGACUCAGCUCAAUCCAUAGCUCUGCCAUGAACUGGCUGUGUGACCAUCAGCAUGUUACCUAGCCUAUUUGAGCCUGCUCCUUCAUCUGUAAAACGAGGCUGGUAGCAGUACCAUUUUAUAUAGCAGUUGUGAAGAUUAAUGAACUAAUAUGUAGAAUACUGCUUAGAGUAGUACUAGGCAAAUAGUAAACCCCCAGGAAAUAUUAGCAAUUAUUAAUUGCUUGAAGUUCUCUGCCCACUUCCCUGAGCUCAGAGUCUUCUACUGCACGAGGCCUACUUUUCUGAGUUGAGAGCAUGAGAGACAUGUUUUGUUAUUUAGUACAAUCAACUUCUAGGGGGACUGUGGCCUAAUUAAUUACAGACUACUUUUUUGAAUGCAAGAUUUUUAGAAUGCUUUGUGGCAAUUUUCUUUCCCACUUAUAUUUAAUUUUGGCAAUAAAAAAGCAAAAUUAGCUUAUUUUUCUUCAUUCUUGCCUGCUGACAAUAGGUUGAUGACUGCCGGCCAGACUGAGGGGACAACUUUUUAUGUAUUUAUUUUUAAACUUCCAUUUUGACAAACCUAGUGGCUGUUUUUCAGCUGUUAAUGCAGAUGAUCUGCUUUUAUUGCAGGCCCGCCAAAUAAUCAGUCCUCUCUUCUGGCCUCUGGACUCUGACUUCCCUGAGGACAAGAACCACUGACAUGUAACUUGUCUCUGUCACACCCCUGCUUACACAGGGCCUGGCAUGUAGUGGGCAGUCAAGAGAUAUCUGUAGAAUGAACUAAUGAAUGAAUGAAUUAAUGGGCACACAGAGCGUCUCAAACCUGGCUCUUUUGGGGAGCCACGCUUGCUUGCCAGUUGGAUUCCUCCGCAAACCAAGGAUGUUGACGAUGAGAGAAAAUCCGUAACCCUCUAGGCUCAGAGCUUUCUCAGCUUGUUGCCAGUAUGUUUGAAAGAAGCCGAGUAGGCCAGCCUGGAGAAUGUGCCCCAUUUCCCUCUGAAAAGGCUUGGCUCUGUGUUCCCACUCAAACCUCAUCUCCAGUUAUAAUCUCCACCUGUUGAGGGAGGGAAGUGAUUGUAUCACAGGGGCAGUUUCCCCCGUGCUGUUCUCGUGAUAAUGAGGGAGUUCUUGCGGGAUCUCAAGGUUUUGUAAGUGUCUGGCAUUUCCCGGGCUUCCUUUACUCACUCCUGCUGCCUAAGGAAGAAGGUGUUUUGCUUCUCCUUCGCCAUGAUUGUAAGUAUCGCGAGGACUCCCCAGCCACGUGGAACUGUGAGUCAGUUAAACCUCUUUCCCUUAUAAAUUACCCAGUCUCGGGCAGUUCUUUAUAGCAGUGUGAGGACGGACUGAUACAGCUUCUUACCCGUGUGGAUUUUUUGCGAGGUAGGCUCCAGGGCUGUCUUUCCCCACCCCUCUGUCACCUGUCUGGUGUCACUGCAUGGCCCAAAUGGCAGGCUGAAUAACACUCUAUCUUGGUAAAUCAUCAUGACUCAUUUUUUUUUUUCUUGAAAAAUGUUUCUUGCCUUAAACAUGUGUUAACUAGAUUGGACUUGAAAGGGCCCUGUACUGGAUGAAGCUAAUGUGGUUACUAUCUUAUUUAUGUUACCUUCUUGAGAGUGGUUAUUUAGUUUAGACUUUCUUUGAGGAAGGAAUAGCUAAAUUGCCUCAAAGGAAUAUUCUUUUUCCCAAAUAGGAAUUCUACGGUCACAGCUUAUCUCAGCAAGAACCAUAUACUUGUGACGAAGUGAGCCAGAUUCUCCUACUAUGAUUUCACUGGAAUUCUCCACAAUUUCUGCACUAACUUGAUGCUGACCUUAUGUUUCUUUCAGUGAUGAUACCCUACAGUCUCCUUUUUUUGAAUUUGGAUGCUAGCAAGAGACACUUAAGCUGGCUGAACAACAUAGGAUGAAAGUUUGUGAGAGGAAAGUUUCUUCCAGAUCUGGAAAAACUCAGAAUGUGUUUUUAGAAAAGGGUGGCAAGUGUUCCUAAAGCAUUGUAAAUCGAGUUCACCAUUUGGGUGGAACUGAUUUAUAUUAAGAAUUCUACUCAAUAGUAGUUUGGAAUGCAAGGCAGAGGAAUCUGACCUCUGGCUGUUUAAAAUCAAAACAGAGACAUGCACAAUCUUCCAAGUGUUCUGUCUCUGUGCAGAUGAUGUGCAAAGCCACAUCAUCAAGCCUAUUCUCACACUACCUGCCACUGCUGACUAACCCUACAAACCAAUAUCUGGAGAGCCAUGUGUCCUGCCUCUAAAAUGCCUCAGAUGUUUCUUGCUGCCCCCAUUAGCACUGUUAUAACCCCCGGCCAGAACUCAAAGCCUCCACCUGGCAGCAUCAGGAUGCUUUCUGGCUCUGGUGUGGUUUGUGAUCAGCAGCAAUCAGCAUCACCUGGAACCUGUCAGGAAUGCAGAUUCUCGACCCUACCAUAGAUCUACUGAAUCAGAAAUUUGGAGGGUAGGGCCCAGUGAUCUGUGCUUCAACCAGCACCUGCACGUGACUCUAAGGCGUGCUGAGAAUUAAGAAUCAUGGCUCUAGGCUCUCUCCCUGUAACUCAGAGCAUGAAAUCCUGAUGUCUAUUAGAAUCACCUGCAGUACUUAACACUCCAGACCAAUGAAACUGAUUGGGCAUGAAAUUAAAACUCCCCAGGUGAUUUUACAGCCAAGGUGGAUAAAAUUAACCCGUCAUCAUAGCUUAAAUGAAAGUAUCAGUUACUCCUUUUGCUCUUUUCAGAACUUGUGACGGUUUCUGGCUUUCCACUGCUCAAGUUCAAACUGAGUUUUUUAAAGAAUCCUCAAGUAUAGAUUAGGAAAACCGCCUUCAUCUGGGGCCUGCUUUGUCUCAAGAGCCCACCCCUCAGUUCCGUUCAGGAUUAGGCUCUGCUUGGUUGCAGGAAGCCAAGCGUGUCAGGAGCCCUUCUUUUUCAUUAGUCAUCUCCUUGCCCUCUUUCCCUUUCCCAGGACCCCAGUCCUCAGGGCCGUCCACACCAAUUUGUAUGAGCAGCCAAGUCCAGCCGCCUUCAGUGCUGGUCAUGAGCCCUGAGGCCAGGUCCAAGUAGUGGCAAGAGAGAACAGGGCUUGGAGGAGGGGUGGAAUUUGAGCACAGUGUGAACUGGGAAGAUGCUUCAGCCUCUCUGAAUACCAGCAAACUGCACUAAAGCAUAGCAGAAUAGCUACACCCAGGUCAAGCAUUUGCAGUGUGAUGGGAGCAGAACUCUCCAUUUUGUCUUUCCUGAACGCCAGACUUGGCCUUAAUUACCUAGACAUGAGUCCCUGUGAGUGGGGUUGGGCAUUGGCAGGAAGACCAGCUCUUGGGGUGGGAUAAGUUAGAUAAAGCAUGGUGUCUGUGUCCCUGCCCAACCUGUGGGCCCAAAGAAGACACUCCCUGGCCACAGUGGUGGCCCUGCAGCCUGAGGCCAAAUGUAGAUGUCUACUCUAUGGCUUGAAAUGGAACUUCUCACGCUCCCAGUCACAAAACCCAACUUCAGUAAUAGGGCUUUUGCUUUUUUUUUUUUUAAGAAGGGAGGCUCCUAACUUGAAAAGGUUCUGUUUUGGUUUUGUUUCAGUUAUAAAAUCUAUGUCUAAAAAGCUACUCUGGCAGAGAUAAAGCAUACUUUUCUUGGAAUUUUGACUGUUCAAGUUGUGAGUUUCAGAUUUCCUUUGGUCACAAUCUAAAUGUUUGAAUAAUGUGAUUAAAAUACUAGUAAUUAUUGUGCGGGGAAUUUUGGGGCAGUCUUUAUAAAAAUCCAAGUUACAAAAACCCUAAUUUUCAUAAAAAUUGUAAUCUUACUGAUGAAGACACUGAAAGUCAGGGAAGGUGAGGGAUUCCUCGUGUUAGAAAGUGUGAAACUAGGUUUGCAUCCUGAGCUCGGGGGACAGGAAAGCUCUUUUCAGGACUGUAAAUACCCCUCUGCCAGCCAGCCACCCAUCAUUUGCCUUAAAUGC
Molecule: long non-coding RNA, 4583 nt
Organism: Callithrix jacchus (white-tufted-ear marmoset)
Lineage: Eukaryota; Metazoa; Chordata; Mammalia; Primates; Cebidae
Source: RefSeq, a predicted model, not a curated record